GCUUAUAUCUCUUCUGAGAUCAAGCAGGGAGUUGGUGAAGUAUGUUAUGGGAGUUCAGGGUGAAGAUGUGCAGACUAUUUGAUGUUGAUGAAGACAUUCGUUGAUUGAAGACCUUUUGAUUCUUACUUUUCUCGGAUCAUCACUUGUAUGUGAGUUUCUUACCUUCAUUGAGAUAUGAUGAUAGAGUUCGGUUAUGAUACUUUUCAUUGUUGAUGAUUAUCAUGGAUGAUUCUUGAAUU
This 239-nucleotide unclassified non-coding RNA is filed under the name Hevea brasiliensis (rubber tree). The record is from RNAcentral. Lineage: Eukaryota; Viridiplantae; Streptophyta; Magnoliopsida; Malpighiales; Euphorbiaceae.